Molecule: unclassified non-coding RNA, 180 nt
Filed under: uncultured fungus
Lineage: Eukaryota; Fungi
Description: sequence contains ITS1
Source: RNAcentral
UUUAUUUCAGUUAUUUAAUUAUUACUUUCCAUACAUGCAUAAAAUGUUUAUUUAAAAUAGGACAGAGCUUUGGAAAAGUCUGUCCAACAGUGCACAGAGGUGUGUAGAUGUGAGAUGGUUUGGGACAUAUAGUCCCAGGUUAUUUCACUAAUGAUCCUUCCGCAGGUUCACCUACGGAAA